Molecule: ribosomal RNA, 777 nt
Filed under: uncultured Neocallimastigales
Lineage: Eukaryota; Fungi; Neocallimastigomycota; Neocallimastigomycetes; Neocallimastigales
Description: partial large subunit ribosomal RNA
Rfam family: Eukaryotic large subunit ribosomal RNA
Source: RNAcentral
UAUCUCUGUAGAGUCUGCAUAUCAAUAAGCGGAGGAAAAGAAACUAACAAGGAUUCCCCUAGUAACGGCGUAGUGAAGCGGGAAGAGCUCAAAUUUGAAAUCUUCAAGGUUUGACCUUGACGAAUUGUAGUUUAAAGAAGUGUUUUCGGUUAGAGGAGUAGUAAAAGUUCUUUGGAAUAGGACAUCAUAGAGGGUGAGAAUCCCGAUAUUUGACUAUUCUUUCUAGCUUUGUGAUACACUUUCAAAGAGUCGGAUUGUUUGGGAAUGCAGUCCAAAAUGGGUGGUAAAUUUCAUCUAAAGCUAAAUAUUGGCGAGAGACCGAUAGCGAACAAGUACCGUGAGGGAAAGAUGAAAAGAACUUUGAAAAGAGAGUUAAACAGUACGUGAAAUUGUCAAAAGGGAAGCGUUUGACACCAGUGUUGUUUUUCCGAAAAUCAAUUAAAAAUUGAUUCAUGCCAGGUUGUAUUGACCUUAUCAGCUUGCAAUUUGGUUUUGGGUCUCUUUUUGAUGCACUUUUCGGUUAACAAGUCAACAUCAAUUUCCUUUGCUGUAAAAAGGUAAGAGGAAGGUGGCUUCAAUUUCGGUUGAAGUGUUUAUAGCCUUUUAGUCUCUGCAGUCGGGGAGAUUGAGGUCUGCAGCGUAGAUCCUUCGGGGCUAGAUACAUUUAUGCUAAGUUAUAGCUUUUCAUAGACAACUUGUUGACUAUGUUUAGUCAUGUAGCUUACUCGUAAGUGCUAUUUUACCUACGCUUAGGAUGUUGAGCGCAUGUCUCUCUCU